CUCCUACCGAUUGAAUGA
RNAcentral lists this non-coding RNA (18 nucleotides) under Arabidopsis thaliana (thale cress). The record is from RNAcentral. Lineage: Eukaryota; Viridiplantae; Streptophyta; Magnoliopsida; Brassicales; Brassicaceae.